AUUGAACGCUGGCGGCAGGCCUAACACAUGCAAGUCGAGCGGACGAAGGGAGCUUGCUCCUGGAUUCAGUGGCGGACGGGCGAGUAAUGCCUAGGAAUCUGCCUGGCAGUGGGGGAUAACGUCCGGAAACGGGCGCUAAUACCGCAUACGUCCUUAGGGUGAAAGUGGGGGAUCUUUGGACCUCACGCUAUCAGAUGAGCCUAGGUCGGAUUAGCUAGUUGGUGGGGUAAAGGCCUACCAAGGCGACGAUCCGUAACUGGUCUGAGAGGAUGAUCAGUCACACUGGAACUGAGACACGGUCCAGACUCCUACGGGAGGCAGCAGUGGGGAAUAUUGGACAAUGGGCGAAAGCCUGAUCCAGCCAUGCCGCGUGUGUGAAGAAGGUCUUCGGAUUGUAAAGCACUUUAAGUUGGGAAGAAGAGCAGUAAGUUAAUACCUUGCUGUUUUGACGGUACCAACAGAAUAAGCACCGGCUAACUUCGUG
This 484-nucleotide ribosomal RNA is filed under the name uncultured bacterium. RNAcentral describes it as "partial 16S ribosomal RNA". It matches the Rfam family "Bacterial small subunit ribosomal RNA", at positions 30 to 507 of the family's 1533-position model. The record is from RNAcentral.